CGGACGGGUGAGUAACGCGUGAGAAUCUAGCUCUAGGUCGGGGACAACCACUGGAAACGGUGGCUAAUACCGGAUGUGCCGAAAGGUGAAAGAUUUAUUGCCUAGAGAUGAGCUCGCGUCUGAUUAGCUAGUUGGUGUGGUAAGAGCGCACCAAGGCGACGAUCAGUAGCUGGUCUGAGAGGAUGAUCAGCCACACUGGGACUGAGACACGGCCCAGACUCCUACGGGAGGCAGCAGUGGGGAAUUUUCCGCAAUGGGCGAAAGCCUGACGGAGCAAUACCGCGUGAGGGAGGAAGGCUCUUGGGUUGUAAACCUCUUUUCUCAGGGAAUAAGAAAGUGAAGGUACCUGAGGAAUAAGCAUCGGCUAACUCCGUGCCAGCAGCCGCGGUAAUACGGAGGAUGCAAGCGUUAUCCGGAAUGAUUGGGCGUAAAGCGUCCGCAGGUGGCACUGUAAGUCUGCUGUUAAAGAGCAAGGCUCAACCUUGUAAAGGCAGUGGAAACUACAGAGCUAGAGUACGUUCGGGGCAGAGGGAAUUCCUGGUGUAGCGGUGAAAUGCGUAGAGAUCAGGAAGAACACCGGUGGCGAAAGCGCUCUGCUAGGCCGUAACUGACACUGAGGGACGAAAGCUAGGGGAGCGAAUGGGAUUAGAUACCCCAGUAGUC
RNAcentral lists this ribosomal RNA (663 nucleotides) under Trichormus variabilis FACHB-319. Its description in RNAcentral is "bacterial SSU rRNA". It matches the Rfam family "Bacterial small subunit ribosomal RNA", at positions 99 to 795 of the family's 1533-position model. Lineage: Bacteria; Bacillati; Cyanobacteriota; Cyanophyceae; Nostocales; Nostocaceae. The record is from RNAcentral.